AAAGAUCGAUACCGAGGGGGGCAUGAUGCCCCGGAGAAUUCCUGCUCUGGCAGGCAGUCCGUACCCAGUAAUGGCUGAAACUCCCUAUACCUCAACAAGUUGCCACUCCGGCGUGAAGGUAUCGUUCU
RNAcentral lists this non-coding RNA (128 nucleotides) under Salmonella enterica subsp. enterica serovar Agona str. 30.H.04. Its description in RNAcentral is "EFASI RNA". It matches the Rfam family "EFASI RNA". The record is from Rfam by way of RNAcentral. Lineage: Bacteria; Pseudomonadati; Pseudomonadota; Gammaproteobacteria; Enterobacterales; Enterobacteriaceae.